RNAcentral lists this ribosomal RNA (484 nucleotides) under uncultured bacterium. RNAcentral's name for it is "partial 16S ribosomal RNA". It matches the Rfam family "Bacterial small subunit ribosomal RNA", at positions 29 to 507 of the family's 1533-position model. The record is from RNAcentral.
AUUGAACGCUGGCGGCAUGCUUUACACAUGCAAGUCGAACGGCAGCGCGGGCUUCGGCCUGGCGGCGAGUGGCGAACGGGUGAGUAACACAUCGGAACGUGCCCAGUAGUGGGGGAUAGCUCGGCGAAAGCCGGAUUAAUACCGCAUACGACCUGAGGGUGAAAGCGGGGGAUCUUCGGACCUCGCGCUAUUGGAGCGGCCGAUGGCAGAUUAGCUAGUUGGUGGGGUAAAGGCCUACCAAGGCGACGAUCUGUAGCUGGUCUGAGAGGACGACCAGCCACACUGGGACUGAGACACGGCCCAGACCCCUACGGGAGGCAGCAGUGGGGAAUUUUGGACAAUGGGCGAAAGCCUGAUCCAGCAAUGCCGCGUGUGUGAUGAAGGCCUUCGGGUUGUAAAGCACUUUUGGCGGGAACGAAAAGGACUGUGCCAAUACCACGGUUCGAUGACGGUACCCGCAGAAUAAGCACCGGCUAACUACGUG